CGCGAGAAGUUGACCGCCUGGGGAGUACGGUCGCAAGAUUAAAACUCAAAGGAAUUGACGGGGACCCGCACAAGCGGUGGAUGAUGUGGAUUAAUUCGAUGCAACGCGAAAAACCUUACCUACCCUUGACAUGUACGGAAGUCUGCUGAGAGGUGGAUGUGCCUGAAAGGGAACCGUAACACAGGUGCUGCAUGGCUGUCGUCAGCUCGUGUCAUGAGAUGUUGGGUUAAGUCCCGCAACGAGCGCAACCCUUGGUAUUAAUUGCCAUCAUUGAGUUGGGCACUUUAAUAAGACUGCUGGUGAUAAACCGGAGGAAGGUGGGGAUGACGUCAAGUCCUCAUGGCCCUUAUGGGUAGGGCUUCACACGUCAUACAAUGGCCGGUACAGAGGGAUGCCAACCCGCGAGGGGGAGCCAAUCUCAGAAAGCCGGUCGUAGUCCGGAUUGUUCUCUGCAACUCGAGAGCAUGAAGUCGGAAUCGCUAGUAAUCGCGGAUCAGCAUGUCGCGGUGAAUACGUUCCCGGGUCUUGUACACACCGCCCGUCACACCAUGGGAGUGGGUGAUACCAGAAGUAGGCAGUCUAACGGCAAGGGGGGCGCUUACCACGGUAUGAUUCAUGACUGGGGU
RNAcentral lists this ribosomal RNA (626 nucleotides) under uncultured bacterium. Its description in RNAcentral is "bacterial SSU rRNA". It matches the Rfam family "Bacterial small subunit ribosomal RNA", at positions 856 to 1481 of the family's 1533-position model. The record is from RNAcentral.